This is a long non-coding RNA of Sphaerodactylus townsendi, 113 nucleotides long. RefSeq lists it as uncharacterized. The record is from RefSeq and is a predicted model, not a curated record. Lineage: Eukaryota; Metazoa; Chordata; Lepidosauria; Squamata; Sphaerodactylidae. The transcript is spliced from 3 exons.
GUGGUGGGAUUCAAUAAUUUAACAACUGGUUGUUUACAAGAACUAUUUUUACAACCAGUUCUGCCAAAGUGGUGCUAACCUACUGAAUUCCAUCACUGGAUUUCACUCAUUUU